GAGUUUGAUCCUGGCUCAGAACGAACGCUGGCGGCAGGCCUAACACAUGCAAGUCGUGCGCGCCUUCGGGUGAGCGGCGGACGGGUGAGUAACACGUGGGAAUGUGCCCUUCUGUUGAGGAUAGCCCCGGGAAACUGGGAGUAAUACUCGAUACGCCCUUAGGGGGAAGGAAGGAUCAGCCCGCGUCUGAUUAGGUAGUUGGUGGGGUAAUGGCCUACCAAGCCUACGAUCAGUAGCUGGUUUUAGAGGAUGAUCAGCCACACUGGGACUGAGACACGGCCCAGACUCCUACGGGAGGCAGCAGUGAGGAAUCUUAGACAAUGGGCGCAAGCCUGAUCUAGCCAUGCCGCGUGAGUGAUGAAGGCCUUAGGGUCGUAAAGCUCUUUCGCCAGGGAUGAUAAUGACAGUACCUGGUAAAGAAACCCCGGCUAACUCCGUGCCAGCAGCCGCGGUAAUACGGAGGGGGUUAGCGUUGUUCGGAAUUACUGGGCGUAAAGCGCGCGUAGGCGGACUGGAAAGUUGGGGGUGAAAUCCCAGGGCUCAACCCUGGAACUGCCUCCAAAACUAUCAGUCUAGAGUUCGAGAGAGGUGAGUGGAAUUCCGAGUGUAGAGGUGAAAUUCGUAGAUAUUCGGAGGAACACCAGUGGCGAAGGCGGCUCACUGGCUCGAUACUGACGCUGAGGUGCGAAAGUGUGGGGAGCAAACAGGAUUAGAUACCCUGGUAGUCCACACCGUAAACGAUGAAUGCCAGUCGUC
Molecule: ribosomal RNA, 756 nt
Filed under: uncultured bacterium
Lineage: Bacteria
Description: bacterial SSU rRNA
Rfam family: Bacterial small subunit ribosomal RNA
Source: RNAcentral